Molecule: long non-coding RNA, 671 nt
Filed under: Homo sapiens (human)
Lineage: Eukaryota; Metazoa; Chordata; Mammalia; Primates; Hominidae
Description: non-protein coding lnc-SIGIRR-2:1
Source: RNAcentral
GGCAGGCCCUGGGCUGGAGGUCAGGGAUAACUGGCCAGGACCGCAGUUGGGGGUGAAGUUCCCAGACCUGGCUGCCUCCUGAGUAGGCCCUGCCAGAACGGCUCCCUCCCGAUGUGAGGUUCCGCAUGUCCUCUUCUGAUUUAUCCAGCUCUCUGACCUCGAGGAGCCACCAAACUGCAGACUGGGUCCCCAGGGCCAGUCUCUGGCAGGGAAAGUGGCUGGUGAUGCCCAGAGUCCCCACAGUCCCCACAAGGCCCCCGGAUGUGAAGAUGUGCUUGGCCCGGGAGCCCCGUCCCACUGGACGCAGUCUGUGGCGUGGCCCCCACCUCACUGUUUGCUCCACAACGCAGGCUAGAAGCACUCUGGGGCCUGAAGGGGCCGCCCUGGAAGCCCACCCCACCCCACACUCCUCUCCCCUCUCCCCAGCUGCCUCAAGGGCUACGUCAACCACAGCCUGUCCGUCUUCCACACCAAGGACUUCCAGGACCCUGAUGGGAUUGAGGGCUCAGAAAACGUGACUCUGUGCAGAUACAGGGACUACCGCAAUCCCCCCGAUUACAACUUCUCCGAGCAGUUCUGGUUCCUCCUGGCCAUCCGCCUGGCCUUCGUCAUCCUCUUUGAGCACGUGGCCUUGUGCAUCAAGCUCAUCGCCGCCUGGUUCGUGCCCGACA